GUCGUUUUACAAAUCAUGUUUAUCCGCACUGUGAACAGUGGAAACAAAGAGUGUGCUGUGACAUCUUGUGUUUAAAGGAGAAUCAUCCCAGAUCACCCACUCUGUCAUCCAGAGUGUCAUCCAUCUCAUCUGAGAGGAUAAAGGUUGUCAGCAGCAUUAUAAAGACCGCCCAGUGUUGCCCACCUCAGUUUAUCAACUCAAAGAGCAACCAGCACAAAUAGAGGAGAUGGAGUCGGACACCAAAGCUGGGCCAGUGCGUGUGAUGGUGACUGGUGGAUCUGGGUUGCUGGGCAAAGGUAUUGAGCAUGUGGUGAUGAACGAAGGUCUGAAACGGGAGGGAGAGGAAUGGAUCUUCCUCUCUUCCAAAGAUGCUGAUUUUGUAGAUCUUAAGCAGACCAGAGAAGUUUUCGAGAAGUAUCGUCCGACUCAUGUCAUCCACCUCGCUGCAAAAGUUGGGGGACUCUAUCAACACAUGAAGGAGAACCUGAACUUUCUGAGGGACAACCUCAGAAUCAAUGAAAACUUACUGCGAACAGCCCAUGAGAUGGAUGUCGUCAAGGUUGUGUCGUGCCUGUCCAGUUGUAUUUUCCCUGACAAAACCACAUACCCCAUUGAUGAGACCAUGAUACACAAUGGACCACCACAUGAGUCUAAUUUUGGAUACUCCUAUGCUAAAAGAAUGAUUGACGUUCAGAACAGGGGAUACUUCCAGCAGCAUGGUCGUCAUUACACAGCUGCCAUUCCGACCAAUGUGGUCGGUCCAUACGACAACUUUAACAUAGAAAAUGGUCACGUGCUGUCGGCGCUCAUACACAGGACACACAAAGCCAAAGUGGAAGGGACGUCCUUGACUGUGUGUGGCUCUGGAGCUCCAAGAAGACAGUUCAUCUACUCCCUGGACGUGGGCCGUCUGCUUGUUUGGGUCCUGAGAGAAUAUGACGAAAUCGAGCCGAUUAUCCUCUCUGUGGGUGAAGAGGAUGAGAUCUCCAUCAAAGACGCUGUGGAAAUGAUCGCAGAGGCUCUGGACUUCAAGGGCGAAAUAAAGUAUGACACCAGCCUGUCAGACGGCCAGCUGAAGAAGACAGCCAGCAAUGCCAAGCUAAGACGCUACCGUCCGGACUUCACCUUCACGCCCGUCAAAGAAGUCAUAAAGCUGACAUGUGAUUGGUUCUUGGCCAACUAUGACAUUGCCCGGAAAUGAGGUAACCAAAGCUGAGUUGAAAAUGUCCACUGUUCUUUGGUUUUGGUGUUGAGGAAGUUGUUAACACUGUGACAUAUUGUUGUGUUAUAAUAAACUGAAAUGGUCUCUGGUAUCAUAUUUUAAAGUAGUGUCACAUCAAGGGGUUUGAGAACCCUCCAAAAGAGGUCUGUAGUUUAUCAGAUAAAUUAUAUUUUCAUAAUAACUAAGGUUAUGGGCAAGGGGGUAAAAUAAUGCACUAAAAUUAGGUUACAUUUUGCUGUGGGGAAACCUGGCAUGGCCAUUUUCAAAGGAGUCCCUCAGUAUAACUGUAUGAAAAUUGAUGCUAUGGGUACCCGCAGGUCUACCCUUUGCAGACAUGUCCACUUUAUGUUAUGUUUAAUUCAUGCAAUUUGGGGUAGAGAUCAGGUCUUUUGCCUGCAGUUGUAACAGGGUUAUUAUAGAUUAAUCAAGUUUGUCAAAAUGUAUUUUCAUAUUCCUUCAAUAAUUUAUUUUGCAAGCAAUGUAUUUUUUUUGUUUGCCAUUCUCAUUAUUUUCUUGUGAAAAAAGUUAAUAUUUUUAUAUUUAUUUUCAUGGAAGGCUCCUUUUAUUUUGUUGUAAUUAGUUACAGCAACAUCAAUUUCUCCCCGUUGCCAUUGACGACCGCAGCUGUGGUGUAGGGCAAGGAGCUGUGCAGCAGAUCAUCACCAGCCACAUUAUUGUGUUUUUUUAUUAUUCAACAGAUGUGCUGCACUUUUAAAUAAACAUGCUGUGAACCCAAA
Molecule: RNA transcript, 1959 nt
Organism: Acanthopagrus latus (yellowfin seabream)
Lineage: Eukaryota; Metazoa; Chordata; Actinopteri; Spariformes; Sparidae
Gene name: GDP-L-fucose synthase-like
Exons: 13
Source: RefSeq, a predicted model, not a curated record